UUUCCGUAGGUGAACCUGCGGAAGGAUCAUUAUUGGAUUUUGAAACUUCAGGCUGCUGCUGGCUCUCCUCGGAGGGCAUGUGCACGCUUGUUGUCCAAUAUUUCUCCCACUGUGCACAAAUUGUAGACCUUUCAGUAGGCCUAUGUUGUUUUUCACAAUCUCUGAAUGUAAUAGAAUGGUUUUGAAUCUUGGGAAAUACAAUACAACUUUCAGCAACGGAUCUCUUGGCUCUC
RNAcentral lists this unclassified non-coding RNA (233 nucleotides) under plant metagenome. RNAcentral describes it as "partial contains small subunit ribosomal RNA, internal transcribed spacer 1, and 5.8S ribosomal RNA". The record is from RNAcentral.